This 441-nucleotide ribosomal RNA is filed under the name uncultured bacterium. RNAcentral describes it as "bacterial SSU rRNA". It matches the Rfam family "Bacterial small subunit ribosomal RNA", at positions 338 to 796 of the family's 1533-position model. The record is from RNAcentral.
CCUACGGGAGGCAGCAGUGGGGAAUCUUAGACAAUGGGCGCAAGCCUGAUCUAGCCAUGCCGCGUGUGUGAUGAAGGUCUUAGGAUCGUAAAGCACUUUCGCCAGGGAUGAUAAUGACAGUACCUGGUAAAGAAACCCCGGCUAACUCCGUGCCAGCAGCCGCGGUAAUACGGAGGGGGUUAGCGUUGUUCGGAAUUACUGGGCGUAAAGCGUACGUAGGCGGAUUGGAAAGUUGGGGGUGAAAUCCCAGGGCUCAACCCUGGAACUGCCUCCAAAACUAUCAGUCUAGAGUUCGAGAGAGGUGAGUGGAAUUCCAAGUGUAGAGGUGAAAUUCGUAGAUAUUUGGAGGAACACCAGUGGCGAAGGCGGCUCACUGGCUCGAUACUGACGCUGAGGUACGAAAGUGUGGGGAGCAAACAGGAUUAGAUACCCUUGUAGUCC